RNAcentral lists this unclassified non-coding RNA (5331 nucleotides) under Hevea brasiliensis (rubber tree). The record is from RNAcentral. Lineage: Eukaryota; Viridiplantae; Streptophyta; Magnoliopsida; Malpighiales; Euphorbiaceae.
GAAAAACUGAAUUAAGGCCUCCCUUUCGAAGCUUCCCACUCUAGCUCGCUUUCUCUGUGCGGCUGUGGCUUUGGUUUCCUUCCCAACCAAGCAAAACCCAGAACAAACCCGCACCCUAAGCGGACAAAUAUUCAGCGUAUACGUACACCAAAUCUUCCAAUCGGGAGAAGAAAACUUUUAAUCCGUAGUAAUCCGAUCUCUCGCACCAUAUCGUCGUUCAUGUCGCCGGCGCCGGUGGAUGUUCGGCCUUCCCUUACCUCCAAUCCUUCAUCUCUUCAAAACCCUAGUUUUGAUUCUUUUUCUCUGAACAGUUUCUCAGAUGAUAAUCAACAAAGCAUAAAGUCCCCAAUUUUUACUAUCCCAAAUGAAUUCGGCGAUCAUGGCGGCCUCGCUUGUAGGAAUGGUUUGCGAACAGGGUCUGUGGCGUCGAGCCGAACUCGCCCGAGGUUUGUGAAGGUGAGGAAACAGUUGCAUGUGAAGUCGCAGGGGGUAUCAGGCGAGUUCGGCCUGGGUUUUAACCCUUUUCAUUCGGGUGUUGAGAGUUCGAGUCGUAGUAACGAUUAUAGCAGUAGUUCAAAUGAGGUUUUAGAGAAAUGUAAGUCAAAUGGGGUUGAUUGUUCAAAUGUGAUUUUUGUUUUCGGUGCUAGUAGCAGUAGUUCUACAUCCAAUUUGACUGCCACCAUGAAUUUGGAUUCUGGGGAGAGAGUAUUUGAUGCUAGUGGAGAAGAAUUGAGUUCCAAAGUGCGGCCUGUGAAAUCUGACGAUAUUGGUUUUGUGUUUAACGAUAAGCAGUGGCACUUCAAUGACAACGAGGGAAAAUCAGUUUCAAAAGCAGCGAAUGGGAAGCUUGACAGUGAAUCUUGUGUGUUUGGAAAUAAGCAGAGGCAAUUAAGUGAAAAUGAGGGAAAACCAAUUUCAAACGCUGACAAUGGGAAGCUUCAUAGUGUUGGUUUUGUGUUUGGUGCUAGUGAGAAUAAUGUGGAGCUGAAGUUGGGGUUGGAAAAGGAAGAAUCAAGAGAGUGCAAUUCUGAUUCAGGUGCCUAUUAUGUAGGGAAGGGGAGAUCAAGGACUGAAGUUGAGCAUGGGAGGGAUGGUUCUGCGGGUUUUGAUUUUGGUGCUGAGAAGAGCAAUUUGGGGUCAAAUUUGAGUUUCGAGAAGGGAGAGUCUAGUGGUAUUGCGAAAGAUCCAGAUUCUAGUAAUACUGGGUUCAUAUUUGGUGCUACUGCCAGUACUUCCAGUGGAAAGAUGGGGAUUUCUGGUACUGGUUCUGUUUUUGGUGCUACUUGGUUUAAUUCAAGUGACAAGAACGAAUCUGGUGGAAGGCUUCAGAAUUUGGUCUCUGAUCAUGCAGAGAAGAUGGAAGUGGCUGAAAGAGCUCAUGAGGUCAAAGGUGCUGAAGUUAAGAUUGACAUUAAUGGAAUUGGGAGUUGGAAGGAAGAUUAUGAUAAGGUUCCCUAUAUAUUUGGUAGUAGCAGUAAGAAAAGCUCCAAUUCCCGAGAAUGCAUGGCUACCAGCUGCAAUGAUGAGGCAAAGUCUAGCAAUGGAAAUUUUGAAAGCUGUAACAGCUUUGCAAAGGCUCAAAAUGGUACUUCAGAUUCUAGCAAUGAUGGUAAGUGUAAACUUGGAUCAUUUGGAAACAGUAGUAACAUAGCUAAUGUUUUUAUGGCAAACCCUGUAUUUACUAAUAUCACCGAUGAGAUGAAAAAAUUGAAUAUUGAUGGUUCUAAUAACGUUGAUGGGUUGGACAAUAAGAAGUUUGUGUUUAGAAGCAAAAAAAUGACUUCUGCCUCUUCUAAUGGAGUUUCAGUCACUACUUCUCAUGAAUGGAAUUCAGAAGGUCUUAUUAAUACAGCUAAGGGCACUGAUGGUGAUCCAUUUGAAUCAACUGCUAAGAAGGAAAGUGUUAAUGUAGUUGGUGCUUCCACCGGAAUUUUCAAUUCUGAAACAAUUAGAUCUCAGAUAGGACUAGCAAAGACUUCUGCUGAAAGCUCGUUAUCUCAUAAUUCUCGUGGUCAAGUGAUUGACAAUACACAGCUAAAUGGAGCUGCUGCAUUGUCUUCGUUCUCAUCUAUUGGUCUUGAUUCCCAAGGCAAUGUUGAGGCAUCUGAACCACCUCCUAUGCCUGGGUUUGGAAAGGAAAAUGAUAAAAGUAGUUAUACAAGCACUGCAGAUAGAUUAGGAGUGUUUACAGAAUUCAAAACACCUCAGUGGGAUCCUUCUUGUUUAAAAGAAAGUCUAUUUCCUGAAUUAAAUAGAAAACUUGAAUUCAGUGUAAAGGGUAGAUCAAGAAAGGUCAAAAAGUCAAAGACACUGAGGGGAAAAUUGAAGCGACUGUCUCAAAAUAAGCAACAACAAGAGCAAGAUCAAGUGAAAAAUGGCAGUGCCCAAGAGGCUAUAAACUCCCCAGGAUGUUAUUCACCAAUGGAUUUUUCUCCUUAUGAGACUACCACAACUGAGAAGUUUUCAAGGGAAAAUUCCAGGAUAUCAAAUGAUUCCAUUUUCAUGGACAAGAAUGGCAUGUCUUCUGUCUUGCAUUCAACAGUGCCUAGCAGUCUCAAAGAUAGCGAAGGAUUAGAUCUUGAAAAAGGUGGUGAGACAAAUCUGGAGAAUGAUGUAUAUCAUUCUGAAAGAUGUUUUGUUGGUGAUUCUCCCACAAAACCGUUUGUUUUUGAAAUGGGAUGCUCUAAUUGCAACAGCGAGCCAGUCUGCACUAGUAGUGGUGCUGGUGUUUCUACUGUUAAAGAUACAUCUGGCAUAAACAUUGAAAGCAACCAUCAAAUACAUUUUAGUUUUGCUUCAGGUUUGGAAGAUGUAGAUGGGAGCAAAUUUUCCUUUUCUGCUUCAUCCUCUGCGCCAAAUAGUUCAUCUGCAGCCAAACGGCCACAUAGGAAGAAAAAUAGAAGAAAAGUUCCUUGUGAAACAUUUGUUAUUGGUGCAAACUCAAAUAAUAAGGAUCAAGAAGGAGAUUUAUCUACUUCACAACGAAAAUUGGGGAAUAAUUCUGGAGCAAACGAACUGUUGAAACAGGGUUCUAUGUCAUCCACUGCUGUUGCAAUUCAGGAAGCUUGUGAAACAUGGCGACUCAGGGGCAAUCAUGCUUAUAAAAGUGGAGAUUUGUCCAAAGCUGAAGAUUUCUACACACGUGGAAUAGAUUCUGUCCCUUAUAGUGAGAGAUCAGGAUGCUCCCUCAAGCCUCUUAUUAUUUGCUACAGCAACCGGGCAGCAACUCGAAUGUCUCUUGGAAACUUGAGGGAAGCUUUAAGGGAUUGUACAAUGGCUGCUGCUCUAGAUCCCAGAUUUCUCAAAGUUCAAAUGAGAGCUGCCAAUUGUUAUCUUGCACUGGGGGAAAUUGAAAAGGCACAGGUCCACUUCACUAAUUGCUUCGAGUCAGGGGAUUGUGUGUGUUUGGACCGGAGAAUCACAAUAGAAGCUGCUGAUGGCCUACAAAAAGCUCAGAAAGUGGCUGAGUGUAUGAAUCAUUCUGCCAAACUUUUUUCACAACAGACAUCUGAUGCAGCACUUAGUGCUUUAGACAUAAUUGCAGAGGCCUUGUCAAUUAGCCCAUAUUCAGAAAGAUUACUGGAAAUGAAAGCAGAGUCCAUGUUUAUGUUACGGAAGUAUGAAGAGGUGAUUCAGCUGUGUGAGCAGACUCUUUGUGCUGCUGAAAAGAAUUUCAUUUCAUCAGGCACCAAUGACCAGUUUGUAGAUAAAGACGAUUCUCGAACUGAUAGCCACUUAUUUGUGAGGCUGUGGAGGUGGUGCUUAAUAUCAAAGUCCUACUUUUAUUUGGGAAGGCUUGAAGCGGCUCUUGAUUUACUCGAGAAAUCAGAGCAAAUGGGAUCUAUAAGUGACAAGUACGCAAGCAAGAUACCAGAAGCAUCACUUUCAUUAGCAGUCACCAUACGUACUCUCUUGCAUCGUAAGAAGGCAGGUAAUGAAGCAUUUCGAUCAGGAAGGUACACAGAAGCAUUAGAGCAUUACACUGCAGCUGUAUCAAGCAAUGUUGAAUCACGUCCUUUUGCAGCUAUCUGUUUUUGCAACAGAGCUGCUGCACACCAAGCCUUGGGCCAAAUUGCUGAUGCCAUUGCUGAUUGCAGUCUAGCCAUAGCCCUUGAUGGAAAUUACUCAAAGGCAGUUUCCAGGAGAGCUUCCUUGGAUGAGAUUAUCAGAGACUAUGGACAAGCAGCCAAUGAUCUCCAAAGAUUCAUAACUUUACUUGAAAAUCAUUCUGAUGGAAAAGCUAGACGGUCUGGCACACCUGGUAGAUCCACCAGCAGUACAAAAGAAUUAAAGCAAGCUAAACGGCGUUUAUCCUUGAUGGAGGAAGAAGCUAAGAAAGGGAUACCAUUGGAUUUAUACCUUAUUUUGGGAGUUAAAGAAGCUGAUACAGCAGCCGAAAUGAAAAAGGCAUACCGUAAAGCAGCACUUAGACAUCAUCCAGAUAAGGCUGGUCAGUUCUUGCAAAGAAGUGAAGGUGGAGAUGAGGGGCGACUUUGGAAGGAUAUUGUCCAGGAGGUGCACAAGGAUGCUGAUCGGUUAUUUAAAAUGAUAGGAGAAGCAUAUGCUGUGCUCUCAGACCCAGCUAAGAGAUCAAAUUAUGAUCUAGAAGAGGAAAUUAGAAAAGCAUCGAAGGAAAACAAAGGAAGCCACCCUCCCAGAAGAACAUCAGAUGGUUACAGCUAUUCAUAUGGGAGGAGUAACCAUCAGCGAAAUUGGCAGGACAAUUGGAAUACAUAUGGUCAUUCACGUUCUCGAUGGUAAGAAACACAUGGAAGUCCUGGAUUUUUAUGUAAGUAAACAUUAUUUGGUAUUUAUAUCCAAAGUCACCUUAUUUGGAUCAAGAAGGUUGGAUCAAUUUUUAGUGGCACAAGUUUUGCAGUGGGUCUGUCAGGAAUCAGAAUUGAUAGCUGUCAGUCUGGUCUGUUACCAACCUUAGCUCCAGAAUGGAUCAAAUGUGAAGGCGCUGCCAUUUGUCUAAUAUUUGUUGCUCUGGACAUAUUUAAAGUAUAUUGGGUCUAAGAAAUUUAUAUGAUUUGCGAAGUUGAUGAUUAUAUGACUUGCGAAGAAGUUGACGAGAUUCUUUGUAAAGUUGGGAAGAUAUGGGAAGAGAAUGGUCUUGGAAGGCAAGUUCGUGCGCAUAAUCUAAGGCUAUGCCUUUGUCUCUUGGACACAUAGUUACGGAGGAAUUUUCUGGGUUUUUCAUGCAUUUCCUCCACAUCAGGAACACAGAAUAUACCUGAAAUUGUUUAGGAAGGCCUUACAUUUAUUAUUGAAACAAGUUGAAUGUUUUAUUAUCAUAAACUUCUAGCCUUUGCAGCAGUCUGGUUGCUG